UUGCACAGUGAACACCCAAGGAUGCUAACGUAGCUCCCCCUGGUCUCUUGUGUCUGUGCUACAGUAAACCUGAUCUGUACCUCUGCAUUAGGAGAGUCCGCUCCUCACUUACAUGUAUUCAACAGAUCAGAAUAAAC
Dicentrarchus labrax (European seabass) is the source of this 137-nucleotide small nucleolar RNA. The record is from Ensembl. Lineage: Eukaryota; Metazoa; Chordata; Actinopteri; Moronidae.